UACGGAGGGUGCAAGCGUUACUCGGAAUCACUGGGCGUAAAGCGCGCGCAGGCGGCUUUGUAAGUUGGAUGUGAAAUCCUAUGGCUCAACCAUAGAACUGCAUCCAAAACUACUUAGCUAGGGUCUGGGAGGGGAAGAUGGAAUUAGUGGUGUAGGGGUAAAAUCCGUAGAGAUCACUAGGAAUACCAAAAGCGAAGGCGAUCUUCUGGAACAGUACUGACGCUGAGGCGCGAAAGCGUGGGGAGCAAACAGGAUUAGAUACCCCGGUAGUCCACGCCCUAAACGAUGAAUGUUAGUCGUCGGGUAGCUAGUCUAUUCGGUGAUGCAGUUAACACAUUAAACAUUCCGCCUGGGGAGUACGGUCGCAAGAUUAAAACUCAAAGGAAUAGACGGGGACCCGCACAAGUGGUGGAGCAUGUGGUUUAAUUCGAAGAUACGCGAAGAACCUUACCUGGCCUUGACAUUGAUAGAAUCUGCUAGAGAUAACGGAGUGCCUUUCGGGGAGCCUGAAAACAGGUGCUGCACGGCUGUCGUCAGCUCGUGUCGUGAGAUGUUGGGUUAAGUCCCGCAACGAGCGCAACCCUCGUUCUUAGUUACUAACGGUUCGGCCGAGGACUCUAAGAAGACUGCCUUCGCAAGGAGGAGGAAGGUGAGGACGACGUCAAGUCAUCAUGGCCCUUACGGCCAGGGCAACACACGUGCUACAAUGGGUAGGACAAUGAGACGCGAUACCGCGAGGUGGAGCAAAUCUAUAAACCUAUUCUCAGUUCGGAUUGUAGUCUGCAACUCGACUACAUGAAGCUGGAAUCACUAGUAAUCGUAGAUCAGCUAUGCUACGGUGAAUACGUUCCCGGGUCU
RNAcentral lists this ribosomal RNA (858 nucleotides) under uncultured bacterium. RNAcentral's name for it is "SSU rRNA". It matches the Rfam family "Bacterial small subunit ribosomal RNA", at positions 524 to 1381 of the family's 1533-position model. The record is from RNAcentral.